RNAcentral lists this ribosomal RNA (234 nucleotides) under uncultured bacterium. RNAcentral's name for it is "partial 16S ribosomal RNA". It matches the Rfam family "Bacterial small subunit ribosomal RNA", at positions 99 to 334 of the family's 1533-position model. The record is from RNAcentral.
CGAACGGGUGAGUAACACGUGAGCAACCUGCCCCGAAGACUGGGAUAACACCGGGAAACCGGUGCUAAUACCGGAUGUCCUCCUCUGGUCGCAUGGCCUAGGGAGGAAAGGAAUUUGCUUCGGGAGGGGCUCGCGGGCUAUCAGCUUGUUGGUGAGGUAACGGCUCACCAAGGCGACGACGGCUAGCUGGUCUGAGAGGAUGGUCAGCCACACUGGGACUGAGAUACGGCCCAG